UAGGGAAUCUUCCACAAUGGACGCAAGUCUGAUGGAGCAACGCCGCGUGAGUGAAGAAGGUUUUCGGAUCGUAAAGCUCUGUUGUUGGUGAAGAAGGAUAGAGGCAGUAACUGGUCUUUAUUUGACGGUAAUCAACCAGAAAGUCACGGCUAACUACGUGCCAGCAGCCGCGGUAAUACGUAGGUGGCAAGCGUUGUCCGGAUUUAUUGGGCGUAAAGCGAGCGCAGGCGGAAUGAUAAGUCUGAUGUGAAAGCCCACGGCUCAACCGUGGAACUGCAUCGGAAACUGUCAUUCUUGAGUGCAGAAGAGGAGAGUGGAAUUCCAUGUGUAGCGGUGGAAUGCGUAGAUAUAUGGAAGAACACCAGUGGCGAAGGCGGCUCUCUGGUCUGCAACUGACGCUGAGGCUCGAAAGCAUGAGUAGCGAACAGG
Molecule: ribosomal RNA, 429 nt
Filed under: bacterium
Lineage: Bacteria
Description: partial 16S ribosomal RNA
Rfam family: Bacterial small subunit ribosomal RNA
Source: RNAcentral